RNAcentral lists this ribosomal RNA (922 nucleotides) under uncultured archaeon. RNAcentral's name for it is "bacterial SSU rRNA". It matches the Rfam family "Archaeal small subunit ribosomal RNA", at positions 1 to 922 of the family's 1478-position model. The record is from RNAcentral.
GAAUUCGAUUACCUGGUCGAUUCUGCCGGACCCGACUGCUAUCAGAGUGGGACUAAGCCAUGCGAGUCAACAUAGCAAUAUGUGGCAUACGGCUCAGUAACACGUAGUCAACAUGCCCAGGGGACGUGGAUAACCUCGGGAAACUGAGGAUAAACCGCGAUAAGUCACUACUUCUGGAAUGGGUAAUGACUUAAAUCUAUAUGGCCCCUGGAUUGGACUGCGGCCGAUCAGGCUGUUGGUGAGGUAAUGGCCCACCAAACCUGUAACCGGUACGGGCUCUGAGAGGAGGAGCCCGGGGAUGGGCACUGAGACAAGGGCCCAGGCCCUAUGGGGCGCAGCAGGCGCGAAACCUCUGCAAUAGGCGAAAGCCUGACAGGGUUACUCUGAGUGAUUUCCGUUAAGGAGAUCUUUUGGCAUCUCUAAAAAUGGUGCAGAAUAAGGGGUGGGCAAGUCUGGUGUCAGCCGCCGCGGUAAUACCAGCACCCCGAGUGGUCGGGACGUUUAUUGGGCCUAAAGCAUCCGUAGCCGGUUCUGCAAGUCUUCCGUUAAAUCCACCUGCUUAACAGAUGGGCCGCGGAAGAUACUAUAGAGCUAGGAGGCGGGAGAGGCAAGCGGUACUCGAUGGGUAGGGGUAAAAUCCGUUGAUCCAUUGAAGACCACCAGUGGCGAAGGCGGCUUGCCAGAACGCGCUCGACGGUGAGGGAUGAAAGCUGGGGGAGCAAACCGGAUUAGAUACCCGGGUAGUCCCAGCUGUAAACGAUGCAGACUCGGUGAUGAAUUGGCUUUAUGCCUAUUCAGUGCCGCAGGGAAGCCGUUAAGUUUGCCGCCUGGGGAGUACGGUCGCAAGACUGAAACUUAAAWGAAUUGGCGGGGGAGCACCACAAGGGGUGAAGCCUGCGGUUCAAUUGGAUUCAACGCCGGA